GGAAGUGUAGUUCAAUGGUAGAACCCUUGUUUUGCAUAUAUGGGGUUCCGGGUUCGGUUCCUGGCACCACUA
This 72-nucleotide transfer RNA is filed under the name Mus musculus (house mouse). It matches the Rfam family "tRNA". From Rfam's summary of the family: Transfer RNA (tRNA) molecules are approximately 80 nucleotides in length. Their secondary structure includes four short double-helical elements and three loops (D, anti-codon, and T loops). Further hydrogen bonds mediate the characteristic L-shaped molecular structure. tRNAs have two regions of fundamental functional importance: the anti-codon, which is responsible for specific mRNA codon recognition, and the 3' end, to which the tRNAs corresponding amino acid is attached (by aminoacyl-tRNA synthetases). tRNAs cope with the degeneracy of the genetic code in two manners: having more than one tRNA (with a specific anti-codon) for a particular amino acid; and 'wobble' base-pairing, i.e. permitting non-standard base-pairing at the 3rd anti-codon position. Lineage: Eukaryota; Metazoa; Chordata; Mammalia; Rodentia; Muridae. The record is from Rfam by way of RNAcentral.